This 62-nucleotide transfer RNA is filed under the name Wiebesia pumilae. Its description in RNAcentral is "tRNA-Ser". The record is from RNAcentral. Lineage: Eukaryota; Metazoa; Arthropoda; Insecta; Hymenoptera; Agaonidae.
GAAAUAUUAAUCAUUAUGAACUUCUAAUUCAUUAAUAAAAUAAUUAAAUUAUUUAUAUUUCU